This is a long non-coding RNA of Hippocampus comes (tiger tail seahorse), 1212 nucleotides long. RefSeq lists it as uncharacterized. The transcript has 2 exons. The record is from RefSeq and is a predicted model, not a curated record. Lineage: Eukaryota; Metazoa; Chordata; Actinopteri; Syngnathiformes; Syngnathidae.
GGGAGAUUCACACGCACCAAGCCUACUCUGCAUACAAGCGGCGAUGGCUUCCUGCCGCAUCUGCGACUUAUCGUCGAGGGAACAGUCCACCGACGUGACGAGCGGGUGACGAGCGGCAAGAGGAGGGAGCCGUGGGGCGGCGGCGGGGUGUCUCUCAAACAACACUGAGCCCAUUGUGACCAAUCAAAGUCGGGAGACGGGACCAAAAAGCCGCACUUCCUGGUAGCGGUGGGCUCCCACAAGCGGCCCUCGAGGAAUUCACGUCAUCGCGUGAAAGACGGACAUCUCUUUCCCCACAGCUCCUUGCAUGUAGACAAACAACGGACUGAAAUCACAUGUCCAGAACAACUCCCUGUUCGCCAGUCAAUGUCCUGUCCAGCACAUAUGGAGACAAAUCAAGCUGUCUCCAGUUGAUGUCAGGGCACGGUUCGACAACAACGACUUGCGAUGGGGGUUUUCUGGACACCAACUCAGAACUGGAAAACCACAUGUGACGUCAAGGCCCCCUCCCCCGAAAAUUGUUAGCCCGCUGCUAAGGCUAGCCCCAGCUAAGCAACUAGCACCUACGCUAAGUGACAACAUUCAAAAAAAAAAAAAAAAACGUGCACAUGCACGCGCGCGCCCCGGCCGCUGAUCGUGGCCGGCGAGCAGAGUGAGCUCCGCAUGGGCGCGUGCGCGCCGUGCUCCGACCGACCGACCCGCUCCUCGCACGCGCGCCCACACGCGUACACAAAGACGCCCGAGGUUCGAAGCCCGUCCUACCUGCAACGAACCGAGCAGCUGGGCCGCGAGCGCGAGCCAAGAUGCCAGCAUCGUCUCGCGCGCGUGCGUGCGUGAUGAGACAAUGGCGCCUCCGCGUGUGCGCGUUUGUGGGUGUGUCUCUGGCUGCGCUCAGUCUCGCCGCAUCUUCGUCUUCAUCUCCGUCAAGUUGACUCAGACGCGCGGGCAGGCCGGCAGCCGAGUUCGGACCGGACCGGAAGCGGAGCUCCGGUACGUUGUGAGCGACGAGCAGAACCCGAAGUGCGAGACGAUGCUGCGACUGUCGCCAAGCCCCGCCCAGGAGCGACGCCGACCCCCCCCCCCUCCCCCUCGCAUCCCCCGCCUCCAUCUUCAUCUUCGUCAUCUUUGUGUCAGCGCCGAUGCGUCUCCGUCCGUCGGCUAUUUGACUAUUUGCGUCAGUUUCCAAUUGAUAAAAUGCAUUUCAAAGAGAUG